Molecule: long non-coding RNA, 2516 nt
Organism: Vulpes vulpes (red fox)
Lineage: Eukaryota; Metazoa; Chordata; Mammalia; Carnivora; Canidae
Source: Ensembl
ACACAUCAGACAGCAGUUGGGAUCCAAGGGCUGAGGAUAUGCUUUCCGUAUGCCACCAAUUUUCCAUAACCAGCCACUGUGCAUCCUGCCUGCGGCUGAGCAGGACAUCAGAGAUGCAGAUGGGCCUCCACAGGAAAUUGGAAGUCGUGACAUGCUGGGACAUACUCCUACGUGUCAACUCUCCCAAGAGCCAAGUGUCUGUCAUCCAGAGCUGGCGGUGGGGCGUGAGUGCUCACAGUCAGGAGCCACUGUCUCUCCAUCCAGGUGUGCUCAUGUGUUCAUACCUGCCUGUUCCUUUCAUUGCCUGCCUCAUCUCCAUGCUGGUGUUCACUCAUCUACUCAUUUGUUUAUUCCUCCAAUAGAUACACAUCAGAUGCUCUCUAUGUGUCAGCCGGAGGGCAUUGAGACAUUUAAGACAUGGCACUAGUGUUCUCGGGCUGCUGUCACCAAGUGUCACAAACCUGGCUUGAAACAACAGAGCCAUGCUGGUUCUGGAGGUCAGAAGUCUGAACUCAAGGUGCUGGCUGGGCUGUACCCUCUCUCAGUUCCUGGUGGUGGCCGGCGGUCCUCAGUGUUCCUUAGCUUGCUUUGGCUUCGCCCCCAGCUCUCUCUCUCAUGUGACCUCCUUCCCUCUGUGCUUUCACAGAGUGGUCUCCACUCUGCAUGAGCCUGUCUCUGUGUCUCUUCCUAUAAGGACACCAGACAUGUCAGUGUAGGGCCCGCCUGCAUCCCAAUCCAGUAUGAGCUCAUCUAACUUAAUGAGAUUCGCAGAGACACUACUUUCAAAUACGGUCUCAUUCACCUCCUUCAGGAUUAGGGCUUCAACUUCUUGGGAAGAUAUAAUUCACAGGAAGACCCCCGGCAGCUCACAGUUGGGCACCUGGCUCUCAGUCAGCGUUCACAUUUGGGAGACAAGAGUCCUGAAGUGUCAGCAACACCCGGUGGCAGUCUCCCUUCCUGGAGCACACACAGUGAGGUAGCCCUGUGGCCUUAGCGCCCCAUUUAAUCUCUCCGACAGUCCUCCGAGGGAGAGUGUUGUCACUCCACGUUGCAGAUGAGGAAGCCAAGGUCAGAGGUGUGACACUGCCUUGCCAAAGUCACAGGGGAGCAAAGCCGGUGUGUGGGGACAGCAGUGAGGGCCAGGAGGUUACUUUCCCUUUCCAGUCAGCCCCUUGGCCCCUACGAUAUGAACAGGAUGAACAGGCGAGGUGAGCUUUUACCUCAGCUGCCAUCAUAAACCCCAGUGCUGACCUCACUUACCAUCCCCCCACUGAUCUGUGGACUUGCCAGGACGACUGCCAGGGCUUUGGGCCUGAUGUACAAAAGGUUGAUUAUUUCCUUGAUCCUGGGGGUGUGGUUUAUAAAUUUCCAUUUGAACAAGAUUUAGCCCAUAUUUAGGGUCAGUUUCCUGUAUCUUUUUGCAUUCUCUAGUAGAUGGAAGAACCAUCCAGAAACCAUAACAAUAUGCUCUAAAUAACCUUUAUUUUGUGGUACUGAUCUAUCUUAGUAAAUAUAGUUAGUACCAGAUGGAACUUUUGCAAUCUAGAACUCUGAAGGAAAGAAUGGAUUCAUUUUGAGUUUCCUUAAAUUAGGUGAGUGAUUUUUUUUUCUUGGGCAAUCAACUCCCACGUUUCAAUAUUCCCAGUGUGACAUUUUGUACUGUUAUACUUGGUAAGUAAAGCUCAGCUAUUCUGAGCUUUAUGUGCCAAGAGCCUGGGCUCAGGGUUCUGUUUUUAGUUCAGCUCAUAAAGGCUGCUUGCAUGUUUGGGUAUUUCACGCAGAAAGAAGGCUUUUGGGCUAGGUCACUCUUGGCUAGUUAUUUACAAAGUUCACGGCUAUUUUUAACACAUACCUUUGCUGCUUUAAAACCACAGUCAGCAUUUAAAGCCAUGACUGGCUUGUCUCAUGUAAGCAUAAUGCCUUCAAGUUUCACUCAUGACGCUAAGUGAAUACGCCCAUCACGAAAGGACAAGUACGCGUAAGUCCACUUAUAUGAGGUUCCAGGGUAGGCAGGUUCAUAGAGACAAAGUAGCAGGAUGGUAGCCAGGGGCUGGGAAGGGGGAUAGGGAGUUGGGCGUUUCACCGGGACGGAGUUUCAGGUCUGGAAGAUGGAGACAUGCUGGAGAUGGAUGCUGGUGAUGGUUGGAUGACAAUGUGAAUACACACUCAGCGCCACUGAACCGUAGACUUACAAUGAAAUGGUAAAUUUUAUGUUGUAUAUACUUUACCAAAAUCAGAAAAAAAUCCUACAAUAACCUAAGCAACUCUAUCCUAAACAACUCUAUCGAAAUAUAUAUAUAAAGUGAUGGUGGGGAUCCCUGGGUGGCUCAGGGGUUCAGCGCCUGCCUCUGGCCCAAGGUGUGAUCCUGGAGACCUGGGAUCGAGUCCUGCAUCAGGCUCCCUGCAUGGAGUCUCUGCCUGUGUCUCUCUGCCUGGGUCUCUCUGCCUCUCUCUCCCUCUCUCUCUCUCUCUGUCUCAUAAAUAAAUAAAAAAAUAAAAUUAAAAAAAAUAAAGUG